RNA transcript from Brassica napus (rape), 3219 nucleotides. It is a transcript of the gene named potassium channel GORK, with no coding region annotated. The record is from RefSeq and is a predicted model, not a curated record. The transcript is spliced from 13 exons. NCBI's taxonomy places the organism in Eukaryota, Viridiplantae, Streptophyta, Magnoliopsida, Brassicales, Brassicaceae.
AGAAUUUAUUUUUCACCUUUAGAUAAUCGUCCACCCAUUAACUCGAUUCUGAAAUCUUUUCUAAGGAGUAUUGAAGAAACGAUGAUAUAUAUAUUUUAACAAAUCUAUUAUUCGGAGAAAACUGUACGACUUUAUUAUAAAUAUAUGUUACUCAUCGACCUGUUAUGUGAGUUUCUGAUGUUCCUAUAAAUAAAUUCGAUUCUUCUAGACAAGACCUUAGGUUAUAUGCUUUAAAUUAUAAGGCCAAACCGCAGUUUCUCUUAACUCUUCCCGACAAACUCAACCAUAGCUUUAACGUGACGAGAUAGAAAACCUAAAGAAGGCGAAACUCAUUAAGAGGGAAGAAAAAGAAAAAGAAGAAAUUCUCGUGAACUUCCCGCCUUCUUCCUUCGACUAUUUCACUCUGUUACAGGGUUUAAAGUAAAGAGAUCGGAUCGAAGUUUCCGCUUUUGGAUUCCUGAUUCGUGUGGUGUGGUCAACACCGUGUUCCCGAUUGCCACGUGCUAGAUUUGGAUCGAUUGAAAAUAAGAGAGAUUUGCUAAAUUUAUGGGGUGUCUCCGGCGACGGCAAGAGAGUAUAGCCGAGGAAGAUGAUAUAAACGACGACGUUUCAAGGAGAAGAGGUGGGUUCAGCUUGGCCGAGUCGUUCCGGUGGCUUGAUUCCCCUGAGCAUCUGAAAGAUGAUUCCGAUGGCCCUAACGAAUACCCUUGGAUCAUUAAGCCCUCAAUUAGGUGGUACAAGGCAUGGGAGUUAUUCAUAUUGGUCUGGGCAAUAUACUCGUCUUUGUUCACUCCCAUGGAGUUUGGUUUCUUCCGCGGUCUACCCGAAAACCUCUUCAUACUCGACAUUGUUGGUCAGAUCGCAUUUUUGGUCGAUAUUGUUCUACAGUUUUUUGUCGCCUUCCAAGAUAAGCAUAACUACCGAAUUGACAGCAAACCAACACAUAUUGCUCUCCGGUACUUGAAAUCGCAUUUUUUCUUGGAUUUGGUCAGUUGCUUCCCAUGGGAUCUCAUCUAUAAGGCUUCAGGGAAACAUGAGGUGGUGAGGUACAUAUUGUGGAUAAGGCUGUUUCGUGUGCGCAAAGUGAUUGAGUUCUUCCAAAGGCUUGAGAAAGACACGAGAAUCAACUAUCUCUUCACCAGAAUCUUGAAGCUCAUUUUCGUUGAGGUUUACUGUACUCACACUGCUGCAUGCAUCUUCUAUUACUUGGCCACCACUCUUCCUGCUGAGAACGAAGGUUAUACUUGGAUCGGUAGCCUGAAGUUAGGAGACUAUAGCUACGAGAAUUUCCGAAAGAUCGACAUCUGGAAACGUUACACCACAUCUCUCUACUUCGCCAUUGUCACUAUGGCUACUGUCGGUUAUGGAGACAUACAUGCCGUAAAUUUAAGGGAAAUGAUAUUUGUAAUGAUAUAUGUUUCGUUCGAUAUGGUUCUUGGUGCGUACCUUAUUGGUAACAUCACUGCCUUGAUUGUGAAAGGAUCAAACACAGAGAGAUUUAGAGAUAAAAUGAAUGAUCUGGCAAGUUUCAUGAACCGAAAAAAACUUAGGGGAGACAUUCGUAGCCAGAUAACUCAUCACGUUAGAUUGCAGUACGACAGUAAAUUCACCAACACUGUCAUGCUUCAAGACAUCCCAGCCUCUAUCCGCGCCAAGAUUGCGCAGUUAUUAUACACGCCUUACAUUGAGAAAAUCCCUCUGUUCAAGGGCUGCUCAUCAGAGUUUAUUAACCAGAUAGUUGUAAGGCUCCAUGAAGAGUAUUUUUUUCCAGGAGAAGUAAUCACAGAGCAAGGAAACGUCGUUGAUCAUUUGUAUUUCGUCUGUGAAGGCUCACUGGAGGCUCUUGAAACAAAAACAGAUGGAACAGAAGACCUUGUGGAGUUGCUUGAGCCUCACACUUCUUUUGGUGAUAUAUCCAUCAUCUGCAACAUCUCUCAACCUUUCACUAUUAGAGUUCGUUCAUUGUGCCAUCUUUUACGCCUCGAUAAACAGUCUUUCUCCAACAUCCUCGAGAUUUAUUUUCAUGAUGGACGCAAAAUCCUAAACAAUCUUAUGGAGGGUAAAGAAUCAAAUGAGAGGAUAAAGAAGCUCGAAUCUGACAUUAUGAUUCACAUUGGGAAACAAGAAGCAGAACUUGCAUUGAAGGUAAACAGUGCAGCUUUCCAAGGAGAUAUCUACCAGCUUAAAAGCUUAGUCCGCUCUGGCGCCGAUCCUAACAAAACAGAUUACGAUGGAAGAGCACCGCUUCGUCUAGGGGAUACGAAGACAUUACAUUGUUUCUUAUUCAAGAAGGCGUCGAUAUAAAUCAAAAAGAUAAAUUUGGCAAUACACCAUUGUUAGAGGCUGUAAAAGCAGGGCAAGACAGAGUGAUCGAUUUGCUUGUCAAAGAAGGAGCUUCCUUUGAUUUAGAAGAUGCUGGAAACUUUCUCUGCACGGUAGUUGUGAAAGGCGACUCUGAUUUUCUUAAGAGAUUGCUCUCAAGCGGUAUGGACCCAAACACCGAAGAUUAUGAUCAUAGAACACCGCUUCAUGUCGCUGCUUCAGAAGGCUUAUUCUUGAUGGCUAAGAUGCUUGUUGAAGCUGGAGCUAGCGUUGUCGCUAAAGACCGGUGGGGAAACUCUCCGCUUGAUGAAGCUCGAAUGUGUGGAAACAAGAAAUUGAUUAAGUUACUUGAAGACGCGGAUACAGCUCAGCCUUAUAUACGCCCGUCAAGCUUUCAUGAACCACAAGAUGAGAAAUUUGAGAGACGGAAAUGCACAGUGUUUCCAUUCCACCCACAUGAGGAGCCGAGUAGAAAGCAUGGAGUUAUGGUUUGGCUUCCGCGUGACCUCCAGAAACUUGUGGAAACAGCUGCGCAAGAGCUCGGGAUAUCUAAUGAAGUCUCCUUUGUAAUAUUGGCCGAGGAAGGAGGUCGAAUCACAGACAUUGAUAUGAUCAGUGAUGGACAGAAACUGUAUUUGAUCAGUGAUAGUACUGAUCAAUCAACCUGAUUGAAUCAACUCCAUAUUAUUGAUUCUUUCCAUCAUUCCCAUACAAAGCCAUUUGAGGUUAUAUUGUUCUUAUAGAGCAUUAAGGGAUAUAUAUUGCAUAGUAUAGAGCACUUUGUCUUCUGUUCCUAACACAUAAUUGGUCAUUUUAUUCAUUUCCCCUGUAUCCUAAAACAUUAAAGUGGCUUCUUGAGAUACUUAAAGUCCAUUAUAAGAGGAUGAACUUUUAACU